AAGGUUAAGCCUCACGGUUCAUUAGUACCGGUUAGCUCAACGCAUCGCUGCGCUUACACACCCGGCCUAUCAACGUCGUCGUCUUCAACGUUCCUUCAGGACCCUUAAAGGGUCAGGGAGAACUCAUCUCGGGGCAAGUUUCGUGCUUAGAUGCUUUCAGCACUUAUCUCUUCCGCAUUUAGCUACCGGGCAGUGCCAUUGGCAUGACAACCCGAACACCAGUGAUGCGUCCACUCCGGUCCUCUCGUACUAGGAGCAGCCCCCCUCAGUUCUCCAGCGCCCACGGCAGAUAGGGACCGAACUGUCUCACGACGUUCUAAACCCAGCUCGCGUACCACUUUAAAUGGCGAACAGCCAUACCCUUGGGACCUACUUCAGCCCCAGGAUGUGAUGAGCCGACAUCGAGGUGCCAAACACCGCCGUCGAUAUGAACUCUUGGGCGGUAUCAGCCUGUUAUCCCCGGAGUACCUUUUAUCCGUUGAGCGAUGGCCCUUCCAUUCAGAACCACCGGAUCACUAUGACCUGCUUUCGCACCUGCUCGCGCCGUCACGCUCGCAGUCAAGCUGGCUUAUGCCAUUGCACUAACCUCCUGAUGUCCGACCAGGAUUAGCCAACCUUCGUGCUCCUCCGUUACUCUUUAGGAGGAGACCGCCCCAGUCAAACUACCCACCAGACACUGUCCGCAACCCGGAUCACGGGUCCACGUUAGAACAUCAAACAUUAAAGGGUGGUAUUUCAAGGUCGGCUCCAUGCAGACUGGCGUCCACACUUCAAAGCCUCCCACCUAUCCUACACAUCAAGGCUCAAUGUUCAGUGUCAAGCUAUAGUAAAGGUUCACGGGGUCUUUCCGUCUUGCCGCGGGUACACUGCAUCUUCACAGCGAGUUCAAUUUCACUGAGUCUCGGGUGGAGACAGCCUGGCCAUCAUUACGCCAUUCGUGCAGGUCGGAACUUACCCGACAAGGAAUUUCGCUACCUUAGGACCGUUAUAGUUACGGCCGCCGUUUACCGGGGCUUCGAUCAAGAGCUUCGCUUGCGCUAACCCCAUCAAUUAACCUUCCGGCACCGGGCAGGCGUCACACCGUAUACGUCCACUUUCGUGUUUGCACAGUGCUGUGUUUUUAAUAAACAGUUGCAGCCAGCUGGUAUCUUCGACUGAUUUCAGCUCCACGAGCAAGUCGCUUCACCUACGUAUCAGCGUGCCUUCUCCCGAAGUUACGGCACCAUUUUGCCUAGUUCCUUCACCCGAGUUCUCUCAAGCGCCUUGGUAUUCUCUACCUGACCACCUGUGUCGGUUUGGGGUACGAUUUGAUGUUACCUGAUGCUUAGAGGCUUUUCCUGGAAGCAGGGCAUUUGUUGCUUCAGCACCGUAGUGCCUCGUCAUCACGCCUCGGCCUUGAUUUUCCGGAUUUGCCUGGAAAACCAGCCUACACGCUUAAACCGGGACAACCGUCGCCCGGCCAACAUAGCCUUCUCCGUCCCCCCUUCGCAGUAACACCAAGUACAGGAAUAUUAACCUGUUUCCCAUCGACUACGCCUUUCGGCCUCGCCUUAGGGGUCGACUCACCCUGCCCCGAUUAACGUUGGACAGGAACCCUUGGUCUUCCGGCGAGCGGGCUUUUCACCCGCUUUAUCGUUACUUAUGUCAGCAUUCGCACUUCUGAUACCUCCAGCAUACCUCACAGCACACCUUCACAGGCUUACAGAACGCUCCCCUACCCAACAACGCAUAAGCGUCGCUGCCGCAGCUUCGGUGCAUGGUUUAGCCCCGUUACAUCUUCCGCGCAGGCCGACUCGACCAGUGAGCUAUUACGCUUUCUUUAAAUGAUGGCUGCUUCUAAGCCAACAUCCUGGCUGUCUGGGCCUUCCCACAUCGUUUCCCACUUAACCAUGACUUUGGGACCUUAGCUGGCGGUCUGGGUUGUUUCCCUCUUCACGACGGACGUUAGCACCCGCCGUGUGUCUCCCGUAAUAACAUUCUCCGGUAUUCGCAGUUUGCAUCGGGUUGGUAAGUCGGGAUGACCCCCUUGCCGAAACAGUGCUCUACCCCCGGAGAUGAAUUCACGAGGCGCUACCUAAAUAGCUUUCGGGGAGAACCAGCUAUCUCCCGGUUUGAUUAGCCUUUCACCCCCAGCCACAAGUCAUCCGCUAAUUUUUCAACAUUAGUCGGUUCGGUCCUCCAGUUAGUGUUACCCAACCUUCAACCUGCCCAUGGCUAGAUCACCGGGUUUCGGGUCUAUACCCUGCAACUUAACGCCCAGUUAAGACUCGGUUUCCCUUCGGCUCCCCUAUUCGGUUAACCUUGCUACAGAAUAUAAGUCGCUGACCCAUUAUACAAAGGUACGCAGUCACACGCCUAAGCGUGCUCCCACUGCUUGUACGUACACGGUUUCAGGUUCUUUUUCACUCCCCUCGCCGGGGUUCUUUUCGCCUUUCCCUCACGGUACUGGUUCACUAUCGGUCAGUCAGGAGUAUUUAGCCUUGGAGGAUGGUCCCCCCAUAUUCAGACAGGAUACCACGUGUCCCGCCCUACUCAUCGAGCUCACAGUAUGUGUAUUUUUGUGUACGGGGCUGUCACCCUGUAUCGCACGCCUUUCCAGACGCUUCCACUAACACACACACUGAUUCAGGCUCUGGGCUGCUCCCCGUUCGCUCGCCGCUACUGGGGGAAUCUCGGUUGAUUUCUUUUCCUCGGGGUACUUAGAUGUUUCAGUUCCCCCGGUUCGCCUCAUUAACCUAUGGAUUCAGUUAAUGAUAGUGUGACGAAUCACACUGGGUUUCCCCAUUCGGAAAUCGCCGGUUAUAACGGUUCAUAUCACCUUACCGACGCUUAUCGCAGAUUAGCACGUCCUUCAUCGCCUCUGACUGCCAGGGCAUCCACCGUGUACGCUUAGUCGCUUAA
This 2901-nucleotide ribosomal RNA is filed under the name Shigella flexneri 4343-70. RNAcentral describes it as "23S ribosomal RNA". Lineage: Bacteria; Pseudomonadati; Pseudomonadota; Gammaproteobacteria; Enterobacterales; Enterobacteriaceae. The record is from RNAcentral.